GGCUUAAUUUGACUCAACACGGGAAAACUCACCCGGUCCGGACACCAUUAGGACUGACAGAUUGAAAGCUCUUUCUCGGUGGUGCAUGGCCGUUCUUAGUUGGUGGAGUGAUUUGUCUGGUUUAUUCCGAUAACGAGCGAGACUCUAGCCUGCCAGGUGUUAGCUCAAUCGGUUAACUUUGAAUGGGUUAACCGUCACGCGACAUACAUACGCACAUACGGAAUCUGGUGAAUGUUAUUAGUAAUGAUUCGGUGAUAAAAAAGAACACUUGAUGCAC
This 277-nucleotide non-coding RNA is filed under the name Caenorhabditis briggsae. Its description in RNAcentral is "Eukaryotic small subunit ribosomal RNA". It matches the Rfam family "Eukaryotic small subunit ribosomal RNA", at positions 1187 to 1420 of the family's 1831-position model. Lineage: Eukaryota; Metazoa; Nematoda; Chromadorea; Rhabditida; Rhabditidae. The record is from Rfam by way of RNAcentral.